UGAGGAACAUGACCUUCGGCGGGGGAGUAGCCGGCCCAACGGCCGGGUAAUACCGCAUACGCUCUUCUGGAGACAUCUCCUAGAGAGGAAACCCUUCGGGGCAAGACGAGGAGCUCGCGGCCUAUCAGCUAGUUGGUGGGGUAAUGGCCUACCAAGGCGACGACGGGUAGCCGGCCUGAGAGGGUGACCGGCCACACUGGGACUGAGACACGGCCCAGACUCCUACGGGGAGGCAG
Molecule: ribosomal RNA, 236 nt
Filed under: uncultured bacterium
Lineage: Bacteria
Description: partial 16S ribosomal RNA
Rfam family: Bacterial small subunit ribosomal RNA
Source: RNAcentral